UGAGGAAUAUUGGACAAUGGAGGAGACUCUGAUCCAGCCAUGCCGCGUGCAGGAAGAAUGCCCUAUGGGUAGUAAACUGCUUUUAUACGGGAAGAAAAGGAGCUACGUGUAGCUUACUGACGGUACCGUAAGAAUAAGGACCGGCUAACUCCGUGCCAGCAGCCGCGGUAAUACGGAGGGUCCGAGCGUUAUCCGGAAUUAUUGGGUUUAAAGGGUCCGUAGGCGGGCCGAUAAGUCAGGGGUGAAAGUUUGCAGCUCAACUGUAAAAUUGCCUUUGAUACUGUUGGUCUUGAGUUAUAGUGAAGUUGCCGGAAUAUGUAGUGUAGCGGUGAAAUGCAUAGAUAUUACAUAGAACACCGAUUGCGAAGGCAGGUGACUAACUAUAUACUGACGCUGAUGGACGAAAGCGUGGGGAGCGAACA
This 422-nucleotide ribosomal RNA is filed under the name Maribacter sp. Its description in RNAcentral is "bacterial SSU rRNA". It matches the Rfam family "Bacterial small subunit ribosomal RNA", at positions 355 to 774 of the family's 1533-position model. Lineage: Bacteria; Pseudomonadati; Bacteroidota; Flavobacteriia; Flavobacteriales; Flavobacteriaceae. The record is from RNAcentral.